AUACGGAGGGUGCAAGCGUUACUCGGAAUCACUGGGCGUAAAGCGCGCGCAGGCGGCUAUUUAAGUUGGAUGUGAAAGCCUACGGCUCAACCGUAGAACUGCAUCCAAAACUAUUUAGCUAGAGUGUGGGAGAGGAGGAUGGAAUUAGUUGUGUAGGGGUAAAAUCCGUAGAGAUAACUAGGAAUACCAAAAGCGAAGGCAAUCUUCUGGAACACUACUGACGCUGAGGCGCGAAAGCGUGGGGAGCAAACGGGAUUAGAAACCCCAGUAGUCC
RNAcentral lists this ribosomal RNA (274 nucleotides) under uncultured bacterium. RNAcentral describes it as "partial 16S ribosomal RNA". It matches the Rfam family "Bacterial small subunit ribosomal RNA", at positions 523 to 796 of the family's 1533-position model. The record is from RNAcentral.